AACAUGCCAAGACGCAGGAGACUGUUCACCGGCCGAGCAUCGCUGGUCCCUCCGCCCGCCCGAACGGGCCCGUUUUAGGCGGGUGCCACCGGUCCGGAGCAGUGGGGACUAGUGGCUGCGGUUCGGUGCCAGCUGCACUGGGUCGGAGGUGGUUCUGGUCUGCAAUUCAUGACGUGAAUUCAUGCAACAUGCUGUUUACAGUCAUAACGCUUUUUCUUUACUUUUAUUUCUUCCAGGGGGUCAAAAACCCACCAUCAACAUCAAGGCUGAACAUCUCUCCAGCAUGGGUGUGAAAUCUUCAGGCUGUGACCCACCGCUUCAGUCAGAGGUCUGUUUUACUCGUCAGUCCGCCUCAUGCACAAACCAGCUUCUUUAUCGGGGCGUGAUGGAAACGUCAGCCGCCGUGAAACACUUGUGGUCUCCGGACGGAGCUACCAUGCCAUUUAAGGGGUUUGUGCCCGGACAUCUUGACCUUUAUGUGAAUGACCUUGUCACUUUUCAGUUUGUGACCUCUGCUAAUACGGUGGCCAAUUCUUUUCUCCUUUCACAGGGGUGUGACUUAGUCUCGGGCCUCUGUGCUCUCUUUCCUGUGAUUUCUCUUACAGGUGACCACGACGACACAGAAAACCCUGCGGUUUCCAGCAGUCCUGUGGUCAGUGGCGAUAUUAAAGGUGGCUCGGUGGUUGCUGCGCACACCUCUCUCACGGGCUCGGGAAGGCAACCCGGCCCGGGAGGUGUAGGUGCGUGCAGUGAUGCUCUGCUCGGGGCCCCUCCUGACAAAGGGGGGGUGCUGAGUGGCUCUGAGUUUUCCGUUGCGGACUUCAACCGGUUCGGGGGAACGCCUCCUCCGAGCGGGCGGGUCAUUGCAGAAAUCGACACUGACCUUCCACCAAUUCAGCUGACAACAUUGACCUCCGACCCGGAGUUAGGUGCUGCACCUUCUACGGGGCGGAGUUCUAGUCAGUCUGUAAAUACUCUGGUUAAACCGGGUUUUUCUGAUUCAGUGUGGGAACCUCCAUCAUUCUUGGGAAUAAAGUAUUCUUGGCUUCAGUUUUCAGGACAGACCAUGUUCCUAAAGCUAGCGUCAUGUCUGUAUCUGAUUCUAAACAUGGCUAGGUUUGCUUUGACACCCGUGACACAACCAUCCUUGGAUCACUCCUUUUCAGAACCUCCAAGUCCAACACCUCCAGGUCUUUGGACAUCUGAACACCUACUCUUUCAGCACGAUUCAGACACGGCAUAA
This 1243-nucleotide long non-coding RNA is filed under the name Nothobranchius furzeri (turquoise killifish). RNAcentral's name for it is "lncRNA (ENSNFUG00015016531.1)". Lineage: Eukaryota; Metazoa; Chordata; Actinopteri; Cyprinodontiformes; Nothobranchiidae. The record is from RNAcentral.